GCGCGAAAACUUUACAAUGCCGGCAACGGCGAUAAGGGGACCUCGAGUGCCAGGUUACAAAUCUGGCUGUCGAGAUGCCUAAAAAGCAUUUCAUAGCAAGGGCCGGGCAAGACCGGUGCCAGCCGCCGCGGUAACACCGGCGGCUCGAGUGGUAACCGUUAUUAUUGGGUCUAAAGGGUCUGUAGCCGGCCGGAUAAGUCUCUUGGGAAAUCUGGCAGCUUAACUGUCAGGCUUUCAGGAGGUACUGUUCGGCUCGAGGCCGGGAGAGGUGAGAGGUACUUCAGGGGUAGGGGUGAAAUCUUGUAAUCCUUGAAGGACCACCAGUGGCGAAGGCGUCUCACCAGAACGGACCUGACGGCAAGGGACGAAAGCUAGGGGCACGAACC
RNAcentral lists this ribosomal RNA (386 nucleotides) under uncultured prokaryote. RNAcentral describes it as "bacterial SSU rRNA". It matches the Rfam family "Archaeal small subunit ribosomal RNA", at positions 339 to 725 of the family's 1478-position model. The record is from RNAcentral.